UAGGGAAUCUUCCACAAUGGGCGAAAGCCUGAUGGAGCAACGCCGCGUGUGUGAUGAAGGUUUCGGCUCGUAAACACUGUUGUAAGAGAAGAAUGACAUUGAGAGUAACUGUUCAAUGUGUGACGGUAUCUUACCAGAAAGGAACGGCUAAAUACGUGCCAG
This 162-nucleotide ribosomal RNA is filed under the name uncultured bacterium. Its description in RNAcentral is "partial 16S rRNA". It matches the Rfam family "Bacterial small subunit ribosomal RNA", at positions 355 to 511 of the family's 1533-position model. The record is from RNAcentral.